Molecule: ribosomal RNA, 513 nt
Filed under: uncultured bacterium
Lineage: Bacteria
Description: partial 16S ribosomal RNA
Rfam family: Bacterial small subunit ribosomal RNA
Source: RNAcentral
GAUGAACGCUGGCGGCGUGCCUAAUACAUGCAAGUCGAGCGAACAGACGAGGAGCUUGCUCCUCUGACGUUAGCGGCGGACGGGUGAGUAACACGUGGAUAACCUACCUAUAAGACUGGGAUAACUUCGGGAAACCGGAGCUAAUACCGGAUAAUAUAUUGAACCGCAUGGUUCAAUAGCGAAAGACGGUUUUGCUGUCACUUAUAGAUGGAUCCGCGCCGCAUUAGCUAGUUGGUAAGGUAACGGCUCACCAAGGCAACGAUGCGUAGCCGACCUGAGAGGAUGAUCGGCCACCCGGGAACGGGGAAACGGUCCAGACUCCUACGGGAGGCAGCAGUAGGGAAUCUGCCGCAAUGGGCGAAAGCCUGACGGAGCAACUCCGCGUGAGUGAUGAAGGUCUUCGGAUCGUAAAACUCUGUUAUUAGGGAAGAACAAAUGUGUAAGUAACUAUGCACGUCUUGACGGUACCUAAUCAGAAAGCCACGGCUAACUACGUGCCAGCAGCCGCCGUAA